This 560-nucleotide ribosomal RNA is filed under the name uncultured archaeon. RNAcentral describes it as "bacterial SSU rRNA". It matches the Rfam family "Archaeal small subunit ribosomal RNA", at positions 289 to 828 of the family's 1478-position model. The record is from RNAcentral.
CCCCCCGCCGCGCGCGGCGGGCGGGGCGGGGGCACGGGGGGACGGGGUGCAGCAGGCGCGAAACCUCCGCAAUGCACGCAAGUGCGACGGGGGAACCCCAAGUGCCACUCUUAACGGGGUGGCUUUUCAGAAGUGUAAAAAGCUUCUGGAAUAAGGGCUGGGCAAGACCGGUGCCAGCCGCCGCGGUAACACCGGCAGCUCAAGUGGUAGCCGCUUUUAUUGGGCCUAAAGCGUCCGUAGCCGGUCUGAUAAGUCUCUGGUGAAAUCCCACAGCUUAACUGUGGGAAUUGCUGGAGAUACUAUCAUGACUCGAGGUCGGGAGAGGCUGGAGGUACUCCCAGGGUAGGGGUGAAAUCCUGUAAUCCUGGGAGGACCACCUGUGGCGAAGGCGUCCAGCUGGAACGAACCUGACGGUGAGGGACGAAAGCCAGGGGCGCGAACCGGAUUAGAUACCCGGGUAGUCCUGGCCGUAAACGAUGUGGACUUGGUGUUGGGAUGGCUUCGAGCUGCCCCAGUGCCGAAGGGAAGCUGUUAAGUCCACCGCCUGGAAGACGCCGAUG